GGCGUCUGUAGUGCAAUUGGUCAACACGUGCCCUCAGAAAGGAUAAAAUGCGGGUUCAAUUCCUGUGUGACGUCA
Parelaphostrongylus tenuis is the source of this 75-nucleotide non-coding RNA. The record is from the annotation of a GenBank genome assembly. Lineage: Eukaryota; Metazoa; Nematoda; Chromadorea; Rhabditida; Metastrongylidae.